RNAcentral lists this ribosomal RNA (429 nucleotides) under bacterium. RNAcentral's name for it is "partial 16S ribosomal RNA". It matches the Rfam family "Bacterial small subunit ribosomal RNA", at positions 355 to 776 of the family's 1533-position model. The record is from RNAcentral.
UGGGGAAUUUUGGACAAUGGGCGAAAGCCUGAUCCAGCAAUGCCGCGUGUGUGAAGAAGGCCUUCGGGUUGUAAAGCACUUUUGUCCGGAAAGAACUGGCUCUGGUUAAUACCUGGGGUCGAUGACGGUACCGGAAGAAUAAGGACCGGCUAACUACGUGCCAGCAGCCGCGGUAAUACGUAGGGUCCAAGCGCUAAUCGGAAUUACUGGGCGUAAAGCGUGCGCAGGCGGUUGUGCAAGACCGAUGUGAAAUCCCCGAGCUUAACUUGGGAAUUGCACUGGUGACUGCAAGGCUAGAGUGUGUCAGAGGGGGGUAGAAUUCCACGUGUAGCAGUGAAAUGCGUAGAGAUGUGGAGGGAUACCGAUGGCGAAGGCAGCCCCCUGGGAUAACACUGACGCUCAUGCACGAAAGCGUGGGGGGCAAACAGG